GAUGAACGCUGGCGGCGUGCUUAACACAUGCAAGUCGAGCGAGAAGUUUUGAAAAGAUUCUUCGGAUGAAAUUUAAAAUGGAAAGCGGCGGACGGGUGAGUAACGCGUAGGCAACCUGCCCCAUACAAAGGGAUAGCAUUUGGAAACGAAUAUUAAUACCUUAUGAAACUUAACUAGUGCAUGCUAGGUAGGUCAAAGAUUUAUCGGCAUGGGAUGGGCCUGCGUCUGAUUAGCUAGUUGGUGAGGUAACGGCUCACCAAGGCGACGAUCAGUAGCCGACCUGAGAGGGUGAACGGCCACAUUGGAACUGAGACACGGUCCAAACUCCUACGGGAGGCAGCAGUGGGGAAUAUUGCACAAUGGGGGAAACCCUGAUGCAGCAACGCCGCGUGAACGAUGAAGGCCUUUGGGUCGUAAAGUUCUGUUCUAGGUGAUGAAAACUGACAGUAACCUAGGAGAAAGCCCCGGCUAACUCCGUG
This 479-nucleotide ribosomal RNA is filed under the name uncultured bacterium. Its description in RNAcentral is "partial 16S ribosomal RNA". It matches the Rfam family "Bacterial small subunit ribosomal RNA", at positions 28 to 507 of the family's 1533-position model. The record is from RNAcentral.